AGGGCUUGGGCAGAGAAACAGAGGGA
This 26-nucleotide non-coding RNA is filed under the name Cricetulus griseus (Chinese hamster). Lineage: Eukaryota; Metazoa; Chordata; Mammalia; Rodentia; Cricetidae. The record is from RNAcentral.